UAAAAAUGAAGUUAAACUUUCAUGCAAUUAACUAUUUAUAUAUUCCACUCCUAAAAUUUGAAAUUUAGAAAUGUAACUAGGAAAAACAAGAAUUUGAUGGAAUAUGCUUGCAGGUAUAGAGUUCUUAUCAGUGGUAUUCUAUGCUUUCUCUACUGCUUGAGAACAUUAGAUAGAUGAAGCUGUUCUCCCUUACAGUUUUGAUGCACAAAUUAUAAUCUCAGAAGAACAAUGAUAUUUUUGUUAUUGCAAAGUUAAAGAGUAUCAACUCGCUGAAAAACUUAAAGAUUGUCCUAGCAUCCGAUGGAGGUCUGGUAGCAAGGGUAGAUAUGGUUGCCGAUUGUUUAUGUAUUUUGACAGUUAAUUAUGGCUUAAAAGUUUUAAGCUAUAUUGAGUACAUAAUGAUACUGUACAUUGACUAGAGCUCAAGUGACUGAUUUUUAUGAAGCGGUUAAGCAAACGGCACAUGAUCUAGUGCUCUCACAUGAGGCACUGACUGAAUUGAGCAGCACAAGUCUGAGAAUCUGAAAGUGGUAGAGAGGAGAGAAGACAUGAAGCUAUGGAGUGUUCGGACUUAAUAUCUUCAUAUUUGAAUUGUAUCUCUGAGAUAUCUUUAACUCUACUGCCAGGAUGCUUACAACUUAGAGGUGGACUAAUUUAUUUAAUUUCCUUUGUCAAGUUGCUUCCCUGUUGUCUCAAUAUGUGCAUUUCAAUGACAACAUCUCUACAAAGACGUCUGAACCGUCAGUGGGGUUCAGUACUGUUACACUUAAGUUUCCCUAAUCAUAUGCAGAGCAACCUCACCAAAUCUUCUCAACUGAUCAAUGCCAGAGGAUUUGUGAAACAGGUGACCUUGUUAUUGCUCCUGAUAUGUUGACGUAGUUCUGGUUCCAUCCGCGGAGCACUACCUGAUCAUCGUAUAUAUAAUAAUUCAGCAAGUAUGAUACAUUCUACGCGGAAAUCUGAAUUCCUACAUCCACGAAUCAGGAAAACGUAUGGUCAAAACUUUAACUUGUGUUCCGUUGCUGUGAGGACCAUAUUGCGAGAAAGUACUUUCAUUUUUCCUCCUAAGUUUCAGUAAUCUUAUAUGUUUUCCAAACAAUGCAGCUGAUGUAUAUUGACAAAGUUAUCCAGUAAGAAGUAUCUGCUGUAGCAUAAGGUAAGACUGAACAUCAUAAACAAUAAUGCAAAGCCUCUUUUUGAUUAUAAACUUAAUUUAAAAGUCCAUUUCUGUUCAUUUUAAGCAAUCCUUGAGCACAAGUGGGUUAUUUCUAUUGUUUACCCCAGCUUGCUGCUCAUUUACAGUUAGACAUUGAGUCCCCAGAGCUUAAAAAAUACACCUCAGUUGACAGAAGCACUCCCCACCUGGACCACCACCACUUAUCUGAGCUGUUAAGAUUAUCCACUAAACUCCAGUGAGGAAAACCUACAUUAUUAGUACAGGUCUUUAAUGAAGAUGACAUAAUUGGAUUGUUUUGAUUGUACAGUUCUGUACUCUUCUAUAUUCUAAUUAUGAGACCUAAUUAUGAAACAUUAU
This is a long non-coding RNA of Daucus carota subsp. sativus, 1534 nucleotides long. RefSeq lists it as uncharacterized. The transcript is spliced from 3 exons. The record is from RefSeq and is a predicted model, not a curated record. NCBI's taxonomy places the organism in Eukaryota, Viridiplantae, Streptophyta, Magnoliopsida, Apiales, Apiaceae.